AUUGAACGCUGGCGGCAGGCCUAACACAUGCACAUCGAACGAGUGGCGGACGGGUGAGUAAUGUCUGGGAAACUGCCUGAUGGAGGGGUAUAACUACUGGAAACGGUAGCUAAUAACGCAUACCAUCAGAUGUGCCCUGAUGGGAUUAGCUAGUGGGUGGGGUAACGGCUCACCAAGGCGACGAUCCCUAGCUGGUCUGAGAGGAUGACCGGCAACACUGGAACUGAGACACGGCCCAGACUCCUACGGGAGGCAGCAGUGGGGAAUAUUGCACAAUGGGCGAAAGCCUGAUGCAGCCAUGCCGCGUGUAUGAAGAAGGCCUUCGGGUUGUAAAGUUCUUUCAGCGGAGAGGCGUUACCCGCAGAAGAAGCACCGGCUAACUCCGUGCCAGCAGCCGCGGUAAUUC
This 406-nucleotide ribosomal RNA is filed under the name uncultured bacterium. RNAcentral's name for it is "partial 16S ribosomal RNA". It matches the Rfam family "Bacterial small subunit ribosomal RNA", at positions 30 to 526 of the family's 1533-position model. The record is from RNAcentral.